GGAAGUCUUCGGCAAUGGACGAAAGUCUGACCGAGCAACGCCGCGUGAGUGAAGAAGGUUUUCGGAUCGUAAAACUCUGUUGGUAGAGAAGAACGUUGGUGAGAGUGGAAAGCUCAUCAAGUGACGGUAACUACCCAGAAAGGGACGGCUAACUACGUGCCGG
This 163-nucleotide ribosomal RNA is filed under the name uncultured bacterium. RNAcentral's name for it is "partial 16S rRNA". It matches the Rfam family "Bacterial small subunit ribosomal RNA", at positions 357 to 511 of the family's 1533-position model. The record is from RNAcentral.